AUCAUCUCCGCUGGGGAAAAAGAGGGUGGCAGAACUAGAUUUCGCUCUCUAAUCUUAAACUUUCUGCAUACUUUGAGGAUUAGUUUAUGUAAUACGGUUUAUAAGCUUGCUGCGAAAGUGUUGGCUAAUAGGCUCAAAGAUGUCUUCCAAAAUAGAUUAGGGAGAAGGAAAAUGUGCUGAAUUUGUUACAGAACAAGGAGCGACUAGGACAAGCUUUUGCUAAGGAGAUGAAUCUCAGAGCAGAUAUUCAAAAAUUGAAGCAUGACGAGGAGUUGUUUUGGGCCCAACGAACGAGAGUUUCUUGGCUUCAAGCAUGGGAUAUGAAUUCGAAGUUCUUUUACCCAUAUGCUUCUCAACGCAGGCGAAAUAACUUCAUACGCGGGCUGUUUGAUGAC
RNAcentral lists this long non-coding RNA (395 nucleotides) under Panax ginseng (ginseng). RNAcentral's name for it is "long non-coding RNA (PGIN_LNC016734)". The record is from RNAcentral. Lineage: Eukaryota; Viridiplantae; Streptophyta; Magnoliopsida; Apiales; Araliaceae.